AUUGAACGCUGGCGGCAGGCCUAACACAUGCAAGUCGAGCGGAUGAAGGGAGCUUGCUCCUGGAUUCAGCGGCGGACGGGUGAGUAAUGCCUAGGAAUCUGCCUGGUAGCGGGGGAUAACGUCCGGAAACGGGCGCUAAUACCGCAUACGUCCUGAGGGAGAAAGUGGGGGAUCUUCGGACCUCUCGCUAUCAGAUGAGCCUAGGUCGGAUUAGCGAGUUGGUGGGGUAAAGGCCUACCAAGGCGACGAUCCGUAACUGGUCUGAGAGGAUGAUCAGUCACACUGGAACUGAGACACGGUCCAGACUCCUGCGGGAGGCAGCAGUGGGGAAUAUUGGACAAUGGGCGAACGCCUGAUCCAGCCAUGCCGCGUGUGUGAAGAAGGUCUUCGGAUUGUAAAGCACUUUAAGUUGGGAGGAAGGGCAGUAAGUUAAUACCUUGCUGUUUUGACGGUACCAACAGAAUAAGCACCGGCUAACUUCGUG
RNAcentral lists this ribosomal RNA (484 nucleotides) under uncultured bacterium. RNAcentral describes it as "partial 16S ribosomal RNA". It matches the Rfam family "Bacterial small subunit ribosomal RNA", at positions 30 to 507 of the family's 1533-position model. The record is from RNAcentral.